Long non-coding RNA from Peromyscus eremicus (cactus mouse), 657 nucleotides. RefSeq lists it as uncharacterized. The record is from RefSeq and is a predicted model, not a curated record. The transcript has 3 exons. Lineage: Eukaryota; Metazoa; Chordata; Mammalia; Rodentia; Cricetidae.
CCCAGAUCCUCGACCCCCCCAUAGUUCCCUUACAUCCUUAACCUAUUUUCCCUUCCCCUUUAGGGAACACGUCCAGGAACAGAGUCAAGAACACGGAAAGUGGCCAGACUGAAGGCACCAUUCCUCAAAGAUGAAGGUGGGAGUUGCAUGUGCUCGACAAAGCUCCUUAGCCUGACCAACCUCAAGUCUGUAGAAGCAGAGACAAAAUGUCACUCAGAAAGAAGACAGAGGGGUGCUAGAGCUGUGGGUACUCGUUUCUCCUUGACAUCCAAGAAGACUCAUUGCUUAAUUCCCUCCUGAGGCCACAGACUUUCGUCUUACCCACAGGAGCCCAUGGGACUGCACUCUGCCCCUCCAGAGCACAGGCUGGUAUAACCAAAUGGUGUGCCUGGCAUUGACCUCAGUCAGCAGGGUUUGCCAAGUACACACAAAUCAUUUCUGGCCCUAGAAGUGUCUUGAAUGCUUGCAACUUAAGGCAAACUGCCAGACCCACUCGGUCUAGCUAUCCAGAACCUUCGCCAUGCCUCUCCCCUCUACUCAACAGCAGCCCCAGUUGGGUGUGGUGGCAUAUACUGAUAAUCCCUGUUCUUGGGAGGUGGGGGUAAAAAGGAUGAAGUGUUUGAGGCCAGUCUCAGACACAGUGAAUUCAAGGCCAAC